CGCGGAAGGCGACAUGGGCUCCGCUCCCUUGGCCCCGGUCCUGCUGCUGGCGCUCGGGCUGCGCGGCCUCCAGGCGGGGGGUGAGUGUGGCGGCGCCCCCCAGCCCAUUCCCCGGCCCCGGCCCCGCCUCUGAGGUUCGCGUCCCCCCACAGCCCGCAGGGCCCCGGACCCCGGCUUCCAGGAGCGCUUCUUCCAGCAGCGUCUGGACCACUUCAACUUCGAGCGCUUCGGCAACAAGACCUUCCCCCAGCGCUUCCUGGUGUCGGACAGGUUCUGGGUCCGGGGCGAGGGGCCCAUCUUCUUCUACACUGGAAACGAGGGCGACGUGUGGGCCUUCGCCAACAACUCGGGCUUCGUCGCGGAGCUGGCGGCCGAGCAGGGGGCUCUACUGGUCUUCGCGGAGGUGCCGGGGGUGCGGGGGGGUCGCGGAGCACCGCUACUACGGGAAGUCGCUGCCGUUCGGUGCGCAGUCCACGCAGCGCGGGCACACGGAGCUGCUGACGGUGGAGCAGGCCCUGGCCGACUUCGCAGAGCUGCUCCGCGCCCUACGACGCGACCUCGGGGCCCAGGAUGCCCCCGCCAUCGCCUUCGGUGGAAGUUACGGGGGGAUGCUCAGCGCCUACCUGAGGAUGAAGUAUCCCCACCUGGUGGCGGGGGCGCUGGCGGCCAGCGCGCCCGUUCUAGCUGUGGCAGGCCUCGGCGACUCCAACCAGUUCUUCCGGGACGUCACGGCGGUGAGUGAGGCUUGGGGUCCUCCAGGCCCCUUAAGGGACAGCGGCUGCAGUGAGCACGGUCUCUUUCCCCCAGGACUUUGAGGGCCAGAGUCCCAAAUGCACCCAGGGUGUGCGGGAAGCGUUCCGACAGAUCAAGGACUUGUUCCUACAGGGAGCCUACGACACGGUCCGCUGGGAGUUCGGCACCUGCCAGCCGCUGUCAGACGAGAAGGACCUGACCCAGCUCUUCAUGUUCGCCCGGAAUGCCUUCACCGUGCUGGCCAUGAUGGACUACCCCUACCCCACUGACUUCCUGGGUCCCCUCCCUGCCAA
RNAcentral lists this small RNA (1046 nucleotides) under Pan troglodytes (chimpanzee). RNAcentral's name for it is "retained intron". The record is from RNAcentral. Lineage: Eukaryota; Metazoa; Chordata; Mammalia; Primates; Hominidae.